ACCUUGGCUCUAGACUGCUUACUGCUACAGGCAAUGAGAGACACAGUAACAGUCUACAGUCAUGGCUA
This 68-nucleotide microRNA precursor is filed under the name Python bivittatus (Burmese python). RNAcentral's name for it is "Pbv-Mir-132-P2_pre stem-loop". It matches the Rfam family "mir-132 microRNA precursor family", at positions 11 to 84 of the family's 84-position model. Lineage: Eukaryota; Metazoa; Chordata; Lepidosauria; Squamata; Pythonidae. The record is from RNAcentral.